GAAACUGAUAUUUGUACGAGAAGGUAUUGAACGAGAUCCAUCGCAAUCGGCUGCUGAGAACGCCGCCGAAUCCGCCGGCCAUGGGAUUUUUGAAGCCUAAAGUUACUACUACCAAUAAUCUUCAGAAAUUGAAGACGCCGGCGACUCCGCCGCCGGCGCCGGUGGGAGGAUCCUUCAAGACUAAAAUUAGCAAUAAUCAUGAAAUGGGGUUCCUUUCUGCAUUCACCACAAUGCCACUAAUUCCUCUCACACAGUGACAGUGGGUCUCAAUCAGUUCGCGGAAAUGUCUAACUAAGAGUUGGAUAUGGGAGAAUCUGAAUAUUCCAUCUUCAGCUGAGUGUUGUCGAUGAAUUCAAAAUGGAGGCGUUGUCCAUAUGAAGGGGCUUUUACACUGUUUCAAAUCCAUGUAGUUUGACUUGCAGUAUAAUUUUUUGGAUCAACUUUGAGAAACUUUAAUCGUUUUUGCGAAUUCACGUAGCGUUCUUUUCCAAUAAAAAAGAAAAAGAUAGUCACAUUAAAUAGAAACGGGAAAAGAGAAAACGAUUCUUGUUUUCCACAUUAGGUGAAAACACUUUAUGCUUCUGUGCACUUUGGCUGCUAAAGAACUUGGCCGUGUAAUUAGUCUUUGUUUAUUUCACCAGCUGUAAAGAAAAUUUCUUAUAUUGGUAACAGAAACAGAGAAUCAGUUCCCCACUAA
This is a non-coding RNA of Erythranthe guttata (spotted monkey flower), 697 nucleotides long. The record is from RefSeq and is a predicted model, not a curated record. NCBI's taxonomy places the organism in Eukaryota, Viridiplantae, Streptophyta, Magnoliopsida, Lamiales, Phrymaceae.